GAAGGUAUAGCUCAGUGGUAGAGUGUGUGCUUAGCAUGCAUGAGGUCCUGGGUUCAAUCCCCAGUACCUCUG
Molecule: transfer RNA, 72 nt
Filed under: Camelus dromedarius (Arabian camel)
Lineage: Eukaryota; Metazoa; Chordata; Mammalia; Artiodactyla; Camelidae
Also listed under: 2 other names
Rfam family: tRNA
About the family: Transfer RNA (tRNA) molecules are approximately 80 nucleotides in length. Their secondary structure includes four short double-helical elements and three loops (D, anti-codon, and T loops). Further hydrogen bonds mediate the characteristic L-shaped molecular structure. tRNAs have two regions of fundamental functional importance: the anti-codon, which is responsible for specific mRNA codon recognition, and the 3' end, to which the tRNAs corresponding amino acid is attached (by aminoacyl-tRNA synthetases). tRNAs cope with the degeneracy of the genetic code in two manners: having more than one tRNA (with a specific anti-codon) for a particular amino acid; and 'wobble' base-pairing, i.e. permitting non-standard base-pairing at the 3rd anti-codon position.
Source: Rfam by way of RNAcentral